AACCUGGUUGAUCCUGCCAGUAGUCAUAUGCUUGUCUCAAAGAUUAAGCCAUGCAUGUCUCAGAAUAAGUUUCGACGAAUCUGCGAAUGGCUCAUUAAAACAGUUAUAAUUUAUUUGGUGAUCAACUGUUUAUAUGGAAUACCUGCGGUAAUUCUGGAGCUAAUACAUGCUCCAAAUCUCGACUUUGCGGAAGAGAUGUAUUUAUUGGACACAGAACCAAUCCCUUCGGGGCCCCAGGAUGAUUCACAAUAAACGAACGGAGCACAUGGCUCGUGCCGGUGCUAGACCAUUCAAGUUUCUGACCUAUCAGCUUUCGAUGGUAGGGUAUUGGCCUACCAUGGCAUUGACGGGUAACGGAGAAUUAGGGUUCGAUUCCGGAGAGGGAGCCCGAGAAACGGCUACCACAUCUAAGGAAGGCAGCAGGCGCGCAAAUUACCCAAUGCUGACACAGUGAGGUAGUGACAAGAAAUAACAAAGCAAGUUCGUUUCGAAUCUUGCUAUUGGAAUGAGUAGAAUUUAAAUCUCUUUACGACUAUCAAUUGGAGGGCAAGUCUGGUGCCAGCAGCCGCGGUAAUUCCAGCUCCAAUAGCGUAUAUUAAAGUUGUUGCGGUUAAAAAGCUCGUAGUUGGAUUUCUUCGGAGGUAGACGGGUCCGCCUUUUGGGCGAGCAUUCGAUCGGCCUCUGAAUCCUGUCAAAGAACGUACUUGUGAUUCAGCUCAUGAUGCGGAAUUUGACACUUUUACUUUGAGGAAAUUAGAGUGGUCACGGGAGGCAAUCGCCUUGAAUAUGUUAGCAUGGAAUAAUAAUAUAGGAUCUUGGGUCUAUUUUGUUGGUUUCUAGAGCUAAGAUAAUGAUUAAUAGGGACAAUUGGGGGUAUUCGUAUUAACACGUCAGAGGUGGAAUUCUUAGAUUGUGUUACGACGAACUACUGCGAAAGCAUUUACCAAGGAUGUUUUCAUUGAUCAAGAACGAAAGUGAGGGGAUCGAAGAUGAUUAGAUACCGUCGUAGUCUUCACCAUAAACUAUGCCGACUAAGGAUUCGUGGAGUACCUUAUAUGUCUCCCUGACCACUUUAUGAGAAAUCAAAGUCUUUGGGCUCCGGGGGGAGUAUGGUCGCAAGGCUGAAACUUAAAGGAAUUGACGGAAGGGCACCACCAGGAGUGGAGCUGCGGCUUAAUUUGACUCAACACGGGAAAACUUACCAGGUCCAGACACAGUUAGGAUUGACAGAUUAAGAGCUCUUUCUUGAUUCUGUGGGUGGUGGUGCAUGGCCGUUCUUAGUUGGUGGAGUGAUUUGUCUGGUUAAUUCCGUUAACGAACGAGACCGUAACCUGCUAAAUAGCAAGUCGUAUCUUCGGAUAUUGGCCUUUGCUUCUUAGAGGGACUUUGUGAAUUUAAAUGCAAGGAAGUUUGCGGCUAUAACAGGUCUGUGAUGCCCUUCGAUGUUCUGGGCUGCACGCGCGCUACACUGAUGCGUUCAACGUGUUUAUAACCUUGACCGACAGGUUUGGGUAAUCAUAAAAACGCAUCGUGCUGGGGAUAGAUUAUUGUAAUUAUUAAUUUUCAACGAGGAAUUCUUAGUAGACACAGUUCAUCAGUCUGUAUCGAUUACGUCCCUCCCCUUUGUCCCCCCCCCCCGUCGCUCCUCCCGAUUGAGCAAUCCGGUGAAUAAUUCGGACUGAGUCAGUUUCCGGUUUCGGAUUCAGGUUUGGAAAGUUUAGUGAACCUUAUUGCUUAGAGGAAGGAGAAGUCGUAACAAGGUUUCCGUAGGUGAACCUGCAGAAGGAUC
This 1789-nucleotide ribosomal RNA is filed under the name uncultured eukaryote. Its description in RNAcentral is "SSU rRNA". It matches the Rfam family "Eukaryotic small subunit ribosomal RNA". The record is from RNAcentral.